Molecule: ribosomal RNA, 253 nt
Filed under: uncultured bacterium
Lineage: Bacteria
Description: partial 16S ribosomal RNA
Rfam family: Bacterial small subunit ribosomal RNA
Source: RNAcentral
UACGGGGGGGGUAAGCGUUGUUCGGAAUUACUGGGCGUAAAGGGCUCGUAGGCGGCCAACUAAGUCAUACGUGAAAUCCCUCAGCUUAACUGGGGAACUGCGUGUGAUACUGGAUGGCUUGGAUUUGGGAGAGGGAUGCGGAAUUCCAGGUGUAGCGGUGAAAUGCGUAGAUAUCUGGAGGAACACCGGUGGCGAAGGCGGCAUCCUGGACAAAUAUUGACGCUGAGGAGCGAAAGCCAGGGGAGCAAACGGG